Molecule: long non-coding RNA, 176 nt
Filed under: Chinchilla lanigera (long-tailed chinchilla)
Lineage: Eukaryota; Metazoa; Chordata; Mammalia; Rodentia; Chinchillidae
Description: lncRNA (ENSCLAG00000028181.1)
Source: RNAcentral
AGAAUCUAGCACUUCCCACCAACACAAACAAGACCUUCUCGUCAAUACUCUUCAUCAGCACCGUGUCACUUCAUGGAAACAGAUCUGAUUGGAACAGGACAAAUGGCAAUGACAGCUUACUUCAAGGGAAGGCUCUUGGACAAAAGAAGAGAUGGCCCAAAAUGAGAGGAGAGGAG